UCUCUGCGUGGGUGUACAUAAGGCUCCCUCAACAGGGCAGUACAAGUGCACUGAGAUUACCAUACUGAAGGCAUUAUGAUAAAGCAGGCUUAUACCGCACUCAUCUUUACUGCCUUAAUCACUAUUUAUGCCGCCGAAGACAUUAUACUUGACUUCAAAACCUACGACGUUAAACUGUUUAUGAACACAUCAAAGCUAAUAUGGACGUACAAUAGCACUCAAACAUCACCCCAUUAUUGCCUGGUGGACAAGGUGACGAGUAUAACAGAAAAUGCCGUGUACUUCAACAGAUCUUAUAACUCGUCCGACAAAAGGGUGACUGAGAGUCUGGAAGGAGCAUUUGUUCCUCACUUCCACAACAUGAUGACCGUUGGCCCUAACGGUAC
Rhipicephalus sanguineus (brown dog tick) is the source of this 386-nucleotide long non-coding RNA. RefSeq lists it as uncharacterized. The transcript is spliced from 3 exons. Lineage: Eukaryota; Metazoa; Arthropoda; Arachnida; Ixodida; Ixodidae. The record is from RefSeq and is a predicted model, not a curated record.